RNAcentral lists this unclassified non-coding RNA (208 nucleotides) under uncultured fungus. RNAcentral's name for it is "sequence contains ITS1, 5.8S rRNA gene". Lineage: Eukaryota; Fungi. The record is from RNAcentral.
CCGAGCUGUUCCCCCCCCUCGCGGGGGGACUCCUCCCCAAACCCUUCUGUGAACCUUACCUGUACCGUUGCUUCGGCGGGAACCGCCCCAGGUUUAGCUGCGUGCCCUGGAACCAUGGCGCCCGCCGGGGACCCAAACCAAGAUUCUUUUUACCUUUUUUUUUUCUGUGGCGCAUCUUUGCGAAAGCAAAAAUGAUACAAACCAAUCA